This 109-nucleotide ribosomal RNA is filed under the name Pteropus alecto (black flying fox). The record is from RNAcentral. Lineage: Eukaryota; Metazoa; Chordata; Mammalia; Chiroptera; Pteropodidae.
GUCUAUGGCCAUGCCACCCUGAACAUACCCUAUCUCGGAUGCUCAGCAGGGUUGAGCCUGGUUAGUACUUGGAGAGGAGACCACUUAGGAAGACCAGGUGCUGUAGGUG